This is a long non-coding RNA of Syngnathoides biaculeatus (alligator pipefish), 1003 nucleotides long. RefSeq lists it as uncharacterized. NCBI's taxonomy places the organism in Eukaryota, Metazoa, Chordata, Actinopteri, Syngnathiformes, Syngnathidae. The transcript has 2 exons. The record is from RefSeq and is a predicted model, not a curated record.
UUGGUCACCGAAUCCGUUGUCAUUUCCGCGCGCACACUCGUACUGUACAACUUUGUGGAUUUCUUAAUCUUUUUUCAGCAUGGGCCCAAUAAAUUGAUGGCCAGCGGCAGUGAGGAGAAGAGAGAGUUGUUUUGUCCAUCAAAACAAAACAAGAAGUUGUCGAGAAACUUGAAAGAGAUCGUUGCGUGUGGCAUUCAUGCUACUGCUGGUCGACUUGAGAGGUUUGAGUGGAGGUUGAACCUGAAGUUGAGGAAACUGUUUCCCUGGGAAAGACUGAUGAUUUCUAAUUUUAGUGGAAUUAAGUUUGUGCAUACCUCCUACUCUCAUUCCCCCCAACGUUGCCUCCUCACGCAUGCACUCUUCUCUUCAUAUCGUUGCUCAACGCCAAAGUAUAUCCACAGAUGUGCAUGUAAAAGCUGCAUACCCAUGGAAACAACAGAAGAAAGUUUUUGUUGACAUGAGAGUCAACAUAUUCACCAGAAAAUGGCAGAUUAUCCAGACCAUCCGCUGCAGUGCAUGACAGAGCACCCAGGAUUCAUUACCAGCUGUCUGAACCCAUGAGUACUUGAGGUUUCCACGACACAAGUAACAGCUAUUUUAUUAUGCUUUCUCCUAAUCAGCCCAUUUUUUUCAUCAUUUAUAUUCAAAUUAUUUGAAAUUAAGAAUUAUUUACAUUAUAAUUGUUUUGUUAAAAGCAGCAUUUGUCUAUUCAAUGCUUGUUCAAACAUUUCCCAGGAAAAUUGUCAUAUGAGUAUAUUUUCAGGUUAUAGAGACAUAAUGCCUCCAGACAGCUUGUGAGAUUGUGUUGGAGAAUUGUAGCUAUAAAUAACCACGUGCCACUUCCAUAUUGCUACGAGUCAAAUAUUUGUGACACCCUUCAUAAUCCGGAUGGCCAAGAGUACAGGGGAUUUAAAUGGUCUAUAUUUUCGUGUUGCUUAAGUCCUUGCGUAAUUGUUGAUUUUUGUGUUUGUAUAUGAAAUAAACAUACACCACAGAACUAAAA